Molecule: ribosomal RNA, 488 nt
Filed under: uncultured bacterium
Lineage: Bacteria
Description: bacterial SSU rRNA
Rfam family: Bacterial small subunit ribosomal RNA
Source: RNAcentral
AUUGAACGCUGGCGGCAUGCCUUACACAUGCAAGUCGAACGGCAGCGCGUCCUUGGAUGGCGGCGAGUGGCGAACGGGUGGAGUAAUACAUCGGAACGUGCCCAGACGUGGGGGAGUAACUGCUCGAAAGAGCAGCUAAUACCGCAUGAGAUCUGAGGAUGAAAGCGGGGGACCUUAGGGCCUCGCGCGUUUGGAGCGGCUGAUGGCAGAUUAGGUAGUUGGUGGGUAAGAGCCUACCAAGCCUGCGAUCUGUAGCUGGUCUGAGAGGACGAUCAGCCACACUGGGACUGAGACACGGCCCAGACUCCUACGGGAGGCAGCAGUGGGGAAUUUUGGACAAUGGGCGCAAGCCUGAUCCAGCAAUGCCGCGUGCAGGACGAAGGCCUUCGGUUGGUAAACUGCUUUUGUUACGGAACGAAAAGACCUUCUUCUAAUACUAGGAGGGUGAGUGACGGUACCGUAAGAAUAAGACACCGGCUAACUACCGU